This is a long non-coding RNA of Cervus elaphus (red deer), 8047 nucleotides long. RefSeq lists it as uncharacterized. The record is from RefSeq and is a predicted model, not a curated record. The transcript is spliced from 2 exons. NCBI's taxonomy places the organism in Eukaryota, Metazoa, Chordata, Mammalia, Artiodactyla, Cervidae.
CCUGGUUCGAUCUCUGGGUUGGAAAGAUGCCCUGGAGGAGGGACGGGCUACCCACUCCAGUAUUCUGGCCUGGAGAAUUGCAUGGACUGGGUAGUCCAUGGGGUCCUUGUCAGGCUCCAAGGCCAUCUGCUCCAAGCUCAUCUUCCAGCUCGUCUGUCUGGGCCACAAGACUUUGUGUUAGACAGCAGGCUGAUUUGGAAACUGAGUCGUAGCGGAUGAGUUGGUGUCAACUUCAAAGUUCAGUGGUGUUUAAUUAAAGCCAUUCAGAGACUAAACCCACUCUCAGGAAAUUAUUCUGAUCGAAUAAUUAAAGAGAAUAAAGGUUAGAUUUGUGUUUCUGGCUAAGUCUGUGUUACAUUCAGCAUCUCCAAAGCAUGAAUUCCAUUAACCUUUCAUGAACCAACAUUAAAUUGCUUUUAAUUAGUUGUCAUUCUAGUUAGAGUCACACAGCAGAGCCGUUGUUUAUACUUGGGGUGUCUGUUCCCUCUCCUCUGGAAUUAUGUGCUUGAAUAAACGGCCAUUCGGAAAAUUGGUUCAUAACUUUGUGUGUCUGCUCAUCCCUUCCUUAGUUGGGUCCUGUUUACUGAGCAUCAGAAGAAAUUGCACCAGGGGAAGUAGGCUGCCGGAAGGCUGGGAUAAGUAAUUGCAGCUGGAGCUUGAACUGAGGUGUAUAGUUUGCAAAGACAUGUCCUGUGACCUUGGGACAGAAAGUGAAGGGCUAGGUAAAGUCGUAAGCUUGGGCAGGGGCAGACCUCAGGCGGCCGAGGUGAGGCCUGGUCUUCCCAGGAGGGCCUUUUAGUUUGGGAGAGCGAGUCCUGCCAUUUGUCAUUCGGUGACCACACUCUCCGAGCAUUUAUGCUCUGGGUGUGGGGGCUUCGUUCCUGCUGAGUGAUGGUCUGAGUCCUCAUCCGGGCCUGUCUGCAGGCUCAGUGUCCUGGAGGAGGCGGCACGCCCAGGCUCCGUUCCCGUGACUGCAGGAGCAGGGAGUGAGACAAGCUCUGUGUGCCUGCUCCGGGCUUCCGGUACCUGUCACCCAGCAUAUCUUUUCUGUUCAUUUUCCUGCAUGACUGUGGAUGAGAGGUGUUAUGACCGAGGAUCUGUAAGCCGGGAUUCCUCCAGGUGGAUCACUCUAGGCCCCCAGCACUCAGGAGGCGGGGCGGGGAGGUCUGCUUCCUUUAGCCUCACCUCUGGACGGAGGUCAGAAAUGCUGACUGUACCCUUAUUUGAAUGUCUUGGGAGUGGGAGUGUUGGGGGGUGGGUACUUGCUGGUCUUUCCUGAGCUCGUACUGUGUUCUGGGCUUAGAAGAAGCUCACUGUGGUCUGGGAUCUGGACCAGAGGCCGUUAAAAACAGAAGGGAUAGCCCGACUCUCCUUGUGAAAACGAUCGUGCCUCAGACCCAGGAGGGCUCAGGCUUGGGAUUUCCUAGUGGUGCCAGGCAACCUGUUUACUUCUGAGCUGGGGCUUGAAGUCUUGUUGGCUCUUGUCUUUCCUGGAGUUGGCCCGGCUCCCUGGGCUGUCUCUGACUCCCCGUGAGUUUUCUGGCAUUCCCUCAGUGGGCCAUCAGGUGCCCUGUUGUCAUUUCCUGCAGGGCUUUUCUAUGAGCAGAUCUGGGGUUACCUGAGGGUUGGCGCCCUGUCUUCCUAGCAGACUGGGGACCUGGCCUGCGUUCACCAUCAGGAAGCCUUAUGGCACACACCAUUCAUUCUGGAAUCACUGCGUGCUGGGCAGUAGGGGCCAGACAGAGGUGAUGCUGUCGCUGGUCCCCGAGCUCAGAGAAGGACGGGCCCAGCCAAAGUGCAACAGAAGCGUCCAGGUCAGGGCUGGGGCCCAGGAAUGAGGAGGAGCGGCGGGGGUGCCCUCAGGGGGCACUGUGUGAAUCGCACAGGGAUGCGUUGGGGUCUCCUGCUGCGUGCAGCGGGGAGGGGCGUUUGGCCCGAGGGAAGAGCGCCUGCUGGAGUGUGAGAGGAGGUGGGAGACGCGGGAGAGGGCUGGGCCCCGUGGGUGAGCACGCGGGGCGUGGGGGAAUGGCCACAGAGGCCAGUGUUCUGCUGCUGCUUUUGAAUCCAUGGUGUUGAUGUGGAGGGCACAUUGGAGGGGGAAAAGACCUGCGGCAUUGGACUAGUUGAGGGUACUGUGAGAGUUCGGUGGAGAGAUGGUGGGGGCCUGGGGACCAGCGGCAGUGGGCGUGGGGAGAGAGGCGUGAAGCCCAGGGACCCUAAGCAGGCAACAGUGAGUGCACCUCAAUUAGAGGUGAGGGUGAGGCAGGCUGCUGGGUGCUCCCAGGACGACUCAGCCUGGCUCCUGGGUGUGUGGAGGUGCAGGACUGGGGGUCAGCAGGGCAGUGCACGUGUUGUUGGAAAAAAUGGAUCGCCUGUGAGCCCUCUAGGCAAGGAAUUUGAGUCUGCAGUGGAGUCUGGAGAUAAGCCCGGGGUUUGGACUAGAGGUAGGAAUGUGGGUCUAGGGCCAGUGGAAGCUGGGUGUCUGCUACAUAGUUAGGGAGUGUAUGAAGGUGAGGAAAUAGAAUGGGGAAAAUACCAGUAUUCAGGGGCGGUGGAGAAGACAAGAGCAUGUGAUGGCCCCAGGGUCUAAGAUCAGAAGGAAUGCAGACGUCAUGUUGCGUGAAAGAAGCUGGACACGAAAGAGAGCAUACUCCGUGAUGUGACUGCAUUUAGAUGAAAAUCAAAGCUGGGCAGAACCACUCGGUGGUGACAGAGGUCAGAACAGAGCUGACACGUUCUCCUGUCAGUACUAAUGACGGGAGGAGGCACCACAGGGCAGGCUUGUGUCCCUAGAACAUGGCAGCUCUUCCUCUGGGCGGGUGUGUACAUGUGUAGGCAGAUGAACGCAGAUGCCCUGAGAUUUCUGCACUUUGCUGUAAGUUAUUCCUGAAAAUAAAAUCUUUAAAAACUUAGGAAGAUGGAAGUGUAGGGGAGGAAAAGUAGUUUACCUUCCAGUCUUCAGAGUCCAUGGCUGAGACCUCUGUAUUAAAAGAGAGAUUAAUAAGAGACAAACAGAAGUAACUGUACGCUGCUGCUGCUGCUGCUAAGUCGCAUCAGUCAUGUCUGACUCUGUGCGACCCCAUAGACGGCAGCCUACCAGGCUCCGCCGUCCCUGGGAUUCUCCAGGCAAGAACACUGGAGUGGGCUGCCAUUGCCUUCUCUGUACUAUACGCUGAUAAGAAUUAAAAGAAAAAUCCCCCCCCCCCCAAUAAGGAGCAUGCCUGAUUUAAAGUUUUUGCUUAUAUUAGGUGUCAUGGCACAUCCAGAAUAAAGUUGGAUUGUGGCUGCACAUCCAGUUUCAUAAACCCGUAUGUGUAUCUUAUUUCAAGUAAUAGAUACCUUUUACUAGAAGAAAAAAAAUUUUUAAUCUGUCUUGAAAAUAAAAAAGAAAGUUUAUGAACACGUAGACCUCACGUGUACAUGGGAGAUACACAGAAAAACGAGCAGCUGCCCGAGGGGGCUUAGAAUUCAGGCUUCAACACCGUCUUAGUGGGGAAGACGGUGGUGGUCGGCGGGGAGGAUAGACCUAGACCUAGGGGAGAGUGAUUUUUAGGGAUGAUGAGAGGCCCUUAGAACGGUGAUUGGGAAGUGUGAUGGUCUGUAACAAGUGUGUCUGGGUGUGGGGUGGGCUCAGCCUCCUCUGUAAUGAGAGUCAAUCUCCCCUGGUUGAUGAAGCUUCUGGGAAGGAUCUGUAACAACUGAGCUCCUUUUGGAGCAUCUGUCUUUAGGCAGAUGGGAGCGUUCAGAGACAGCCUUCUCAUUGGAUUGGCUGUUUUUCAGAUGCCUACAGCUCAGAACAAUCAACCUCCCAAAGUGGCAAGUUUGGGGCUGGCAUAUUCUGGUGCCCUUCAGAAGGAAGAUGGGAGGAAGGAAGGAAGGGGAAAUAAGGAAAGAGGACAGGUGGACAGAGGAAAGAAGAAAAGAAACCUGGAGUCUGUGGUGCCUGGCGGGAGAGGUUUGAGUUUUCAAGAAAGAGGAUGACGACCAGUGUCACUCACACCCAGAGGUCGAGCCUGGAGCCGGCUCCGAAGAGUGACCUGGAGGCUGCCCCCCGCAUCCUCCCAUGGUCCCAGCUCUGCUGAAGGAGUGGCAGAGGACAAACCCUAACCCGGAGUGAGAAGAGGGAGGCGCGAAGACCCUCGGAUGGAGGGCGUGCCCGAGAGCAUGUGACCCGUGCUUUCGUCAUAGCUCCUAGCACUGCAGAUGGCCACUCUGUGGUUCCCAGAGUGCCCUCCCAGGCAGAUCCCUUCGUUUAAAUCUGACCAUAUUUGAUCAAAAAAGUUAUCAACUACUGUCAUUUAAAAGCACUUCCUUCUGUUUCAGUGUGAGGGUUUUCCAUAGAAACCACUUGAGCCUGGGCGGCUGUGAAUGGCAGCUUUAUUAGUGGAGCCAUCUGCAGGCUCUCCUAGCUGUCCACACAAUCUGUCACCCUGCUGAUCGCUUCCCGUGCAAACCCUGUUUAUCGUGAUGGAGCCCCAGCCUGUCGCCCAUGACCCGGAGGAGACACCUUCCCUGCGCCCUGAGAGACUGAAAGUCUGCAGAAGGAAGAGGCUCUGCCCUGCCCGGACAUCACUUACACAGUUGUGUUAACUGAGAAAGUUCUAUGGCUGACGCGGUAAGAGAAUGCUGGCUUCUGGUUUCCCUGCUUCCACCAGGUCACCAAGUGAGCCCAGCCCAGUGUUGGCUGAAUGGGCAUUACUGUGGAGGGGUGGGCUGGAGUACCCCUUGACCUUGCCUACGGCGCACUCUGGCUUGGUGGCUAUGGGAACAUCAGGAUGAAACGGAUGACCAGGUAUGUGGGCUUUUGCUUUUUAUUAUGGUUACUUUUCCUCCCUAAGUCCCCUUCUAGCACUUGUCUCCAGCUCGCUUAGUGAGAUCUGGUGAAAGUGCACAUGCGUCAUCCCACUGACACACACCGGUGGUUAUGCAUAUUCACCUCUGUCCCUGGGUGACUCCCUAGGGAAAUUUGCUUUCAGGACUGCGUGUUGACAUUGCUGAGGGAGAGGAGAGGCAGGAUCAAGGCCCUGUGGCGUAGCCUGUGCCGGAGAUUAAGGGAAGAAUCACUUGACCAGUGAAGAAAGAAGCUGCUCUGCUGCUUUUUCAGUGAAACAGAAAUUGCUCAGAGGUUGGAAAAUAAGGGAGCAGCGUCUCCACACAAAUAGGCUUAAAACGGAACCUCAGGGACUGACUCAGGAGCCAAGGCAGGCGGGAAGUGCAGAGAGGUGCUGACGGGAGGUGCUGCGGGGUGGGCCGGAGGCUUGGCCCCCACUCCACUUGUAGGGCUGGCACGAGGGGUCUUGUGCCAGGGAGGGGUCCCUGUCAUCUGUGAUUGUUCAGAGCCGAGUCGACUGUUCCAAAGCCUAACCACUUUCUGUGAUUUUUCGAUAUAGUGGUCUCAAAUCCUUCCUACCAGAAGCUUAGCCCAUUUCAUUCUGUUACUAAUAAUCACUAUAUCACUAUUCUGCAGUAAGCAUCUCCUACAGUGCCCGGCCGCAGAGCUACCCCAGGGACUCUGGAGGCAGGAGGACAAACCCUAACCCUGAGUGAGAAGAGGGAGAACCAAACCUUGGUUCAGUCAGUUGGUGCUGUUAGGGUCCUAUUAGGGUGACAGUUUCAUCUGUAAGUUUACUCAUCUGUAAAAUGGUGACGGAAUAUAGGAUGGUUGGAGGAACUGGUGGAAAGCUCUAACAUGUUGCAAGUGUCAGCUCUUCUGGUUCAGUAACAUUUAGUUCUAUGUGGAUGUGUCGUCAUCAAUGAGCACUCGGGUUUUUGUUGCUACAUUUUUUGUAUUUUUGUCCUCUGAGAUAUAGAAGUGGUAUCUUUUUCUUCCAGAUUUCUGGAUUGGUAAAAUUAAAAAUCACACGUGUUCAGUUUGGUAAGUUAUGGUCUCCUGAGGAUGUCACCCACGGAUUCAGAAAUGAAACACACUGACAAGUCUAUAGGAACCAAACUUUCUUCUUCCAUUUGGGAUUAUUUCUCUUUUAGUUCCUUUGCCUUUUUUGUAUCAGAGGUUGUUGUAGGAAUCCCUUAAUGAGGGUGGCGUAGAAAUCCAGGUUUCCUCUGGAAAAGGUUAUACACAAAAGGUAUAAGAUGACUGUAGUCCCUGAGAGCAGCAGUUGCCCUUUAGAAAGGAUUGCAUCUACUUUUCAGGGAAAAUGCCUGGAAACUUUUUCUAAGGUCCUUGGAGAUGCCAGUCCUGGGCAUCCUGGACGAAGCCAGCUUCUUCAGCAGAGCCUGUUUCUGUGAUGGUGACAAAGGUGUAGCAUCCUCCCCUGGACUGAGGACUGAGAUGAGAUAGGGCCACUGAUGUUGCCCCGUCUCCUUUCCAAAAUCUGUGAAUCUUCACCCUCAUCCUUUCCUUCUUCCUCCCUGUUUCUAAAGAAUGUCUUUCUCCUAGUGUAAGUGGAAGAGGCUCCAGCUUCGAAGUGACAGCGCAUGAUGUCCUGGCGUGAGGUCAUCUGGGUGAGUGAACAUGGGCCUGUUCUGAACCCAGCCCGCCCCGUGCGCUGUAUGAGGCUGGGGCGUCCGGGGGCUCUGGCUGCACAGACUCCUCGAGCAGUAGCUCUGCUCCGUUCACGGCCAGCAUACCUGCUCUUCAGCCUGUCUCCUUUGUCCUAGAAACAUGUCCUGUCCUAAGCUGCCUUUUAGUUCCCCUGUAAGCUGGAAACAUAGUUCCUUCUAGAAUUUACACGACCACACCAGUAUGUCCAAGAUCCGAUUCACCACUGUUUCCCCAUAAACAGGUUCCUGACUUGGAGCUCCUUUUUUAUUCAGAAAAAUCACAUUGUUGAGCGCGUCUGUUCUGCUGCCCGCCAGCCACUGUGUCUCAGAGUUGGCGGAGAGGAAUUGCUGGGCCCAGGACGCCUCUCACAGGUCAGUGUGUGUGAGUGGCUGUGAAGAUACAUUCAUAGUCACCACGGAUGAAUAAGGUGAUGAUGAAAACCCCAUCAUUUCCAUGACUGUAAAACUGAGAAAUGUAUGGACUACUUAAUUCCUCAUAAAGAAAAACGUGCAGCAGCUAAUUUAUGGUUGUGGUGUGAAGAGGAUGUGUCACUAAGCAACCCAGGGGAGAUAGAGAAAGCGGGAUGCUGAGUUCAAGGGCUUCCCGCAGGUGAACACCGGGGAGGCAGGUAGCUAGGAUCACCCAGUGUAAACAUCUGAGUGAGUGCAGACAUGAAAUAAAUUAAAACGAAGCUACUGCCUAUUAAAUGGAAGCAUAAAUCAUAAGUAAUUUCCUCUAGCUUUAUGAGAUGGAGUCUGUCACUACCAGAAUGGUUGUAUCCACAGCGGCAGUGGUCAACUGAUAAACAUAAACUGAUAAACAGUCCUUCUGAACUGUCUGUCGUGGCUCCUGAUAACUGGAUGAAACCGGCAGCAUAGAGGAAGAAAGACUCAAGACACAUUUAGAGACAAAUGAAACAUCUUGAUUAUUUUAUUUAAUCUUCAAAUUUUUCUGUCAUAAGACAGGAAUGCAUGAUAGAAAUGGCUCAACAUCUUCACAUAAAACACUUGGAUUCAUUUUCAUUCACAAGUUUUUCUAAAAACAUCUAUAAUUUCAUAAUCCCACCCACUUCCAACCAUAAUCACAGAUUUAAUUGACUGUUAAACAGUAGUUGCCAGCAAUAGAGAGCUGGAACGCUUUCUGCGUAUUAGUAGUGUCUUUUUGAAACUACCACCCAAGAUAUCACAAAUAUCACGACUAUAAAUUUCAUUGUACACAGCAACCCCAAAGGUGACUGAUAUCCCCAGAUACACUCCCUGCUUGUCAUGGAGAGCAGUAUCCCCCACGUACUUUACAAAAUGCUUUUUUCUUCUUCUAGAAUUACUUGUUCAUCUCCUAUUAUUUUGCAGGGUCUAGCACAUGCUGACCUGAUGAUUCAAUCACCAUAGCUAAUAGGCAAAAAACACAUGCCUGAUACUGCUGCUGCCCUCUGAUAAUUAUGUAUAAACAUACUGAAAAAUGAUGGGUUGCUUGAAGUCUCUCUUCUUUUGAAGAGAACUGCUUUGAGGUUUUUUUUUUUUCUGAACAGUUGUAAACAAAAGGAAA